GGGUCCGCGGCCAUCAGCUAGUUGGUAGGGUAACGGCCUACCAAGGCAACGACGGGUAGCUGGUCUGAGAGGAUGAUCAGCCACACUGGAACUGAGACACGGUCCAGACUCCUACGGGAGGCAGCAGUGGGGAAUCUUGCGCAAUGGACGAAAGUCUGACGCAGCGACGCCGCGUGGGUGACGAAGGCCUUCGGGGUUGUAAAGCCCUGUGGGGAGAGACGAACCGGCUCGUGGCUAAUAUCCAUGGGUCUUGACGGUAUCUCCUUAGCAAGCAUCGGCUAACUCUGUGCCAGCAGCCGCGGUAAGACAGAGGAUGCAAACGUUGCUCGGAAUUACUGGGCGUAAAGCGCGCGCAGGCGGUCCUGUAAGUCGGGUGUGAAAUCCCGGGGCUCAACCCCGGAAGUGCACUCGAUACUGCAAGACUGGAGUACUGGAGAGGAGAGCGGAAUUCUCGGUGUAGAGGUGAAAUUCGUAGAUAUCGGGAGG
Molecule: ribosomal RNA, 486 nt
Filed under: uncultured bacterium
Lineage: Bacteria
Description: bacterial SSU rRNA
Rfam family: Bacterial small subunit ribosomal RNA
Source: RNAcentral